This 395-nucleotide ribosomal RNA is filed under the name uncultured bacterium. Its description in RNAcentral is "partial 16S ribosomal RNA". It matches the Rfam family "Bacterial small subunit ribosomal RNA", at positions 523 to 918 of the family's 1533-position model. The record is from RNAcentral.
AUACGUAGGGUGCAAGCGUUAAUCGGAAUUACUGGGCGUAAAGCGUGCGCAGGCGGUUUUGUAAGACAGUGGUGAAAUCCCCGGGCGCAACCUGGGAACUGCCAUUGUGACUGCAAGGCUGGAGUGCGGCAGAGGGGGAUGGAAUUCCGCGUGUAGCAGUGAAAGGCGUAGAUAUGCGGAGGAACACCGAUGGCGAAGGCAAUCCCCUGGGCCUGCACUGACGCUCAUGCACGAAAGCGUGGGGAGCAAUCAGGAUUAGAUACCCUGGUAGUCCACGCCCUAAACGAUGUCAACUGGUUGUUGGGGAUUUAUUUUCUCAGUAACGAAGCUAACGCGUGAAGUUGACCGCCUGGGGAGUACGGCCGCAAGGUUAAAACUCAAAGGAAUUGACGGGG